GGGUUAGUAUAUGUUAGAAUACAAUGAAUUUGAUUGAUUACAAGUGCUAGAGAUGCAUGAAGAGUGUUUAGAAGUGUGGAGAAAGACUUGUUGAAAUUGGGUCCCAAAUGGGCUAAGAACUCGGAAACAUUGCGUAUAACCACAACAUGACUUAUAUAGUGUUGUUUGGGGUUAGAAUAUGUUAGAAUGCAAUGAAUUUGAUUGAUUACAAGUGCUAGAGAUGCAUGAAGAGUGUUUAGAUGUGUGGAGAAACACUUGUUGAAAUUUGGUCCCAAAUGGGCUAAGAAUCCAUAAACAUGUCUUUGGAGAAGAAAAUGGGUUGUCUAGUGUUGUUUGGAGUUAGAAUAUGUUAGAAUACAAUAAAUUGGAAUGAUUACAAGUUUUAGAGAUGCAUGAAAAGUGUUUAGAAGUGUGGAGAAAGACUUGUUGAAAUUGGGUCCCAUAUGGGUUUAGAACUCGGAAACAUUGCGUUGAACCACUAAAUGGCUAGUCUAGUGUUGUUUGGGGUUAGAAAAUGUUAGAAUACAAUAAUUUUGAUUGAUUACAAGUGCUAGAG
Molecule: long non-coding RNA, 556 nt
Filed under: Capsella rubella
Lineage: Eukaryota; Viridiplantae; Streptophyta; Magnoliopsida; Brassicales; Brassicaceae
Description: long non-coding RNA (CRUB_LNC000528)
Source: RNAcentral